RNAcentral lists this ribosomal RNA (253 nucleotides) under uncultured bacterium. RNAcentral's name for it is "partial 16S ribosomal RNA". It matches the Rfam family "Bacterial small subunit ribosomal RNA", at positions 524 to 776 of the family's 1533-position model. The record is from RNAcentral.
UACGAAGGGGGCUAGCGUUGCUCGGAAUCACUGGGCGUAAAGCGCACGUAGGCGGGUUCUUAAGUCAGGGGUGAAAUCCUGGAGCUCAACUCCAGAACUGCCUUUGAUACUGGGAAUCUCGAGUCCGGGAGAGGUGAGUGGAACUGCGAGUGUAGAGGUGAAAUUCGUAGAUAUCCGCAAGAACACCAGUGGCGAAGGCGGCUCACUGGCCCGAUACUGACGCUGAGGCACGAAAGCGUGGGGAGCAAACAGG